Molecule: ribosomal RNA, 140 nt
Filed under: Escherichia coli
Lineage: Bacteria; Pseudomonadati; Pseudomonadota; Gammaproteobacteria; Enterobacterales; Enterobacteriaceae
Description: partial 16S ribosomal RNA
Rfam family: Bacterial small subunit ribosomal RNA
Source: RNAcentral
AUGUGACGGUUCCUGGUAGCAGGUGUAGCGGUGAAAUGCGUAGAGAUCUGGAGGAAUACCGGUGGCGAAGGCGGCCCCCUGGACGAAGACUGACGCUCAGGUGCGAAAGCGUGGGGAGCAAUGGAACUGAGACACGGUCC